GACGAACGCUGGCGGCGUGCUUAACACAUGCAAGUCGAACGGAAAGACCCUGCUUUUGUGGGGUGCUCGAGUGGCGAACGGGUGAGUAACACGUGAGUAACCUGCCCUUGACUUUGGGAUAACUUCAGGAAACUGGGGCUAAUACCGGAUAGGAGCUCCUGCUGCAUGGUGGGGGUUGGAAAGUUUCGGCGGUUGGGGAUGGACUCGCGGCUUAUCAGCUUGUUGGUGGGGUAGUGGCUUACCAAGGCUUUGACGGGUAGCCGGCCUGAGAGGGUGACCGGCCACAUUGGGACUGCGAGACGGCCCAGACUCCUACGGGAGGCAGCAGUGGGGAAUAUUGCACAAUGGGCGGAAGCCUGAUGCAGCAACGCCGCGUGCGGGAUGACGGCCUUCGGGUUGUAAACCGCUUUCGCCUGUGACGAAGCGUGAGUGACGGUAAUGGGUAAAGAAGCACCGGCUAACUACGUG
Molecule: ribosomal RNA, 468 nt
Filed under: uncultured bacterium
Lineage: Bacteria
Description: partial 16S ribosomal RNA
Rfam family: Bacterial small subunit ribosomal RNA
Source: RNAcentral